This 229-nucleotide ribosomal RNA is filed under the name uncultured bacterium. RNAcentral describes it as "partial 16S ribosomal RNA". It matches the Rfam family "Bacterial small subunit ribosomal RNA", at positions 568 to 796 of the family's 1533-position model. The record is from RNAcentral.
UACGUAGGUGGUAUUGUAUGUCGGACGUGAAAUCCCACGGCUCAACCGUGGAAUUGCAUUCGAAACUGCGAUACUAGAGUGCAGGAGGGGAGAGCGGAAUUCUUGGUGUAGCGGUGAAAUGCGUUGAUAUCAAGAAGAACACCGGUGGCGAAGGCGGCUCUCUGGAAUGUUACUGACACUGAGGUACGAAAGUUGGGGUAGCAAACAGGAUUAGAUACCCUGGUAGUCC